UGGAAGACUAGUGAUUUUGUUGUUGUACGUUAAUUCACAUGACAACAAGUCACAGUCUGCCUCA
Molecule: microRNA precursor, 64 nt
Filed under: Microcaecilia unicolor
Lineage: Eukaryota; Metazoa; Chordata; Amphibia; Gymnophiona; Siphonopidae
Description: Mun-Mir-7-P1e_pre stem-loop
Rfam family: mir-7 microRNA precursor family
About the family: This family represents the microRNA (miRNA) precursor mir-7. In this case the mature sequence comes from the 5' arm of the precursor. The extents of the hairpin precursors are not generally known and are estimated based on hairpin prediction.
Source: RNAcentral